AUUAAAGUUGUUGCAGUUAAAAAGCUCGUAGUUGGACUUGUGUGCGCUGUCCGCGGGUGGCCUGCGCCCAAAAGGGCGUUUCGGUUCGGCCCCGGUGGCGCCUUGAAAUCUGCAGCUGGGGGGACGUUGGCCUUAACUGGUCGGCGACCGCACGCCGGCUGCUCGGUUACUGUGAGAAAAUUAGAGUGUUCAAGGCAGGCAUUGGGUGCAAUUGAAUACAUUAGCAUGGAAUAAUAAAAUAUGGCUCCUGCCGUAUUUUGUUGGUUUUGACUGGUGGGAGUAAUGAUUGAUAGGGACGGUUGGGGGUGCUAGUAUUGAGCGGCCAGAGGUGAAAUUCAUGGAUUCGCUCAAGACUAACUUAUGCGAAAGCAUUCACCAAGGACGUCCUCUUUAAUCAAGAACGAAAGUUGGGGGAUCGAAGACGAUCAGAUACCGUCGUAGUCUCAACUAUAAACUAUGUCGACUUGGGAUCGGCGGUAGUUUUUUCAUUAAGACACUGUCGGGACCACGGGAGGAAUCAAAGUGUCUGGACUCUGGGGGAAGUAUGGUCGCAAGGCUGAAACUUGAAGGAAUUGACGGAAGGGCACCACCAGGAGUGGAGCCUGCGGCUUAAUUUGACACAACACGGGGAAACUUACCAGGUCCAGAGAUGUAGAGGAUUGACAGAUUGAAGCUCUUUCUUGAUCACUUCGGUGGUGGUGCAUGGCCGUUCUUAGUUGGUGGAGUGAUUUGUCUGGUUAAUUCCGUUAACGAACGAGACCUCAGCCUGCUAGUGUAGUCGGCUGGAUUGCCUUUGGCGAUCCGUGAUUUCGACUUCUUAGAGGGACAAUCGACGCGCAGUCGAUGGAAGUUUGAGGCAAUAACAGGUCUGUGAUGCCCUUAGAUGUUCUGGGCCGCACGCGCGCUACACUGCUGGGCUCAGCGAGUUUUACUUGGCCGAGAGGCCCGGUUAAUCUUGUGAAAUCCCAGCGUGCUUGGGCUCGCCUCCUGCAACUGGAGGCGCCAACGAGGAAUUCCUAGUAGACGCAGGUCAUCAACCUGCAUCGAUUACGUCCCUGCCCUUUGUACACACCGCCCGUCGUUCCAUAAGAGUGAGGCAUCCGGUGAAUUCUCGGGAGAGCCUGGGCGUGGCCAGCAAUGGUCUGCUCGGGUUUGAACUUGCAUAAACUUGGUGCCUAUGAUUAGGG
Molecule: ribosomal RNA, 1187 nt
Filed under: metagenome
Description: bacterial SSU rRNA
Rfam family: Eukaryotic small subunit ribosomal RNA
Source: RNAcentral